This 1136-nucleotide long non-coding RNA is filed under the name Triticum aestivum (bread wheat). RNAcentral describes it as "long non-coding RNA (TAES_LNC000622)". The record is from RNAcentral. Lineage: Eukaryota; Viridiplantae; Streptophyta; Magnoliopsida; Poales; Poaceae.
CAUGUAUCUUUUUAAGAAAGUUGACAAUCAGCUCAUAAACAAAGUACCUUGCUAAUUGCAAAACAUCCUCCAGUAUCAUUUGUGUAUUAUUAUGUAGCAAAGCUCCCUACCAUCCUAUUAGCCUAACAAACCUGCCGAAGCUCUGCAUAUAGCAAACACAAAAGUUGGAACAAAUUAAGAAAAUCGGUAUUAAGAAGAGAUGAGUAGUAUGCCUACGGGGAUAAGAUAAUAGGAUGGAUCAACAUGAACAGUGAACAAAUAUGUGUUAUCUCCGGAAGACAUUUGUACAUGGCGUUUUGGUCUUUUUCCAUGAGAAUGCCAUGAGCCUAUGAGUGUGGAGUGUGUGUCAACGGUUCCAAAAUCAGGAAGAGCAAGGUUGAGUUGAAAAACAACACACGCAUCAGUACAUGCAGUUCAAUAUCCCAAUGCCCUUAACAAUUUCUACCACUCCUGAUCCGAAUGUGUUUCCAAUUUGCUCAAAUAGGUUGCUACCUAUCUUUGGCAAGUGUACGUGAACUAAUAUUUGAAAUUGACCAUAAGUUCAAUCAAGAAUUUGGGCCCUGAACAAUACUGAUUUUGUAUUUAUCUGCAGAGAUGAAUCAUUAUCGUAUUUGCCUUUCAAUGUUUCGGAAAAGAAGUUUGAACAAUAGAGCAGUAGCAUCAAAAAGAGUAGUUUAGAAUCUACGUUUGAGUUUCAAACCCAAUUUUCCACACAAAGCCUUUCGUCUUCUCCACCAAAUCAUGUAUUGCCUUCUUAUGAAAUCUUUUGUUUUCAUUUAUGAUGUUUUCCUGCAGUAUCAGAGCAGGUUCAAAUGAGCCCCAAAUAGUCUAUGUGAAGCAACAAAGUGGGAAUUAGAAAAAAUAAACAGCAAAACUAUGUCUUAUGAUUUGGUAGCUUAAAAGGGAUAAUAUUAUGAGUUUAAACAAACCAGUGAUUGACAUAGUCGCAAAGGUUCACCUGCCAACUUUUUUCAUCCCAGUAGACAUGGAAAUUAGUAGUCACUGAUCUAGGAUAAAGUAGAGGAAAAGAAAGAUGAGAAAUAGAGAGCACCUAUGAUAAACACGGACAUCCAAGGGACUUCAGUGUCCCAUUGUUCUCGUCUUGGCCGCCACCACACCUCUUCCCCGUGGCAACC